AUGAUGCUGCCAGGGUGGGGCAUCCACAACAUCCUGGGCAACCUAUUCCACUGUCUCACCACCCUCAAUCACCUCUCUCAACCUUAUGUGAGACAUUAUCCUUACUCAGCUGUGUCUAUGACUAUAGGUCAAAUACUGACAUCGCAAACCAACACAAUAACUCAACAUGUCCUAUUCCUUGAUAAUCUCUGGAUGAUAAUGUAAUAAUUUUGGUUUCCAAGAGAUGUCUUACUUUAUUUACUCCUUUCCACUUUGUGAUGUAUACUUAGCCAAAGUCAAUAUCUAUGAUCAGGAGAUGACUGGAUAUUUGACAUCCCUUUGUCUACAGAAUUGUCUUUCUACUGCUUAAUAUAUCCAGUGGCACAUUUCAUAUAUGGCAUAUUUCUUCCACAGAUACAGUGGUUUAUGCAUGUGUCUGGGAAUUGUGUUUCCCUUUGAUUUAUUAACUAAGCGCAAAGGCUUUGUCCUGUUAUUGCUAUCUUUAUUCACACAAGGCACGUUUCAGCAAUUCCAGCUACAGCUCAUUUAGGGCUGCUUUCUUUUGAGCCUUGUUUGUUUCACCUAAUUACUUUUGCAAUAACUAUUUUUAGGUUUUUGACGUUCAUUUGUACUGGGGUAGUUUAUUCUUUAUGUGUUUUUAUAUCCUGGGUUGGUCUCCUAAGUGCAUCUCCUCAGCUGUGCAUUUAGUUUGUUCUUGAGUAGUUACAGGAGACCUUCCUGAGAGGAAUGAAAACAUAAACAUAUGGGUGGCAUGUGAGUGGCAUCUGAAUGAUGUGAGUGACUAGAAUAUACCUGUAAGGGUGGUAAACCCAGGUGAACAUCUGUAUGUUCAGAUCUUGCUGCUAUAAUUCUCACUCCUGCAUCAUAUCAAGAGAUUGGACUGGAGGAUACCUUGAGUUUUAUUGUAAGCCUACUUUUUGUCACUGUCAAUAAUUUGCCAAAAUUUAAGACAAACAACCAUAAUGAAAAGCUGAUUUCACAGCUUGCUUUCCUAAUGGCCAUAUAAAAUGAAUUCUUCUACUGGCUCUUAGAUCCAUCACUGUUGAUUUUCAGUUCUCCGAACUCCUCACAUGUGUCUCUAGUUAAGAGAAUAAAGCAACUAGGGAGCCAAUUAAUGAUAUUCACAGCCAGCCAAAGCCCAGAACUGUUUUCUCACAGCUCCGUUGAAGUGCCAGUGAUGGCACCACACUUAGAUUGUGUAGGUUUUGUUUGUUAAUGUCAGUAAAGCCCUCCAAGAAUCCUGUGCAAUGAAUGACAGAUAUGAUAUCUGAAGGCAGAUAUAAAACAUUUUAUGCCUUAGCAACAUGACAUGGGAUCUGGAUUCUGAGCCCAGCUUACUCCAAUAAAGUUCAGGGUUGCCAUAGUCAGGCAUAGAUUCAGGCUUGUCUUUCUCAUCAAGAGAAUACCAGGGAAAUACCAUUUACUAUGCGUGGGCCUUGUUUCUCCUGCAAACCCACAGUCACUUCAAAGUUUGCUGCCUUUUGGUGGAAAAGUUAGGUAAUUAAAACAUUAAUGAACCCUUAGACAGUGCUUUUGUGUGUUUGUGUAUUUUGUACACAGUCACAAAGAGCAUCAACAUACUGUCUUGAGAACAUGAUACUCCAGAUAGCCAAGCACACAGCUCUUAUCAGCUCAAUUGUUGGUUUGAACCUGCAUCCCACUAAAUGCUAUUUGUAUAUUGACUGUACUUCUUAGAGGACUAUUUCUUUUGUAUUUGCUGUAGCUUCCACUAUCUCUUAGACAUUUUUCAAAUAUGAAAGAUGUUCCCCUAAAGAACAUCUAGUAUAAAGGAUGAAAUUGUCAAUAAGUAGAGCCUGGUGGCUGCCAAUAUCCCUGAGUGCUCAAGAGGGAGAAUGACUUUGGUGCUGCAAUGGACAGAUGCAGAGAGCAGCAAAGCCCCCAUGCGGAAACAGCAUCAUUUGUCUGUCUGCUUGUCAGCUUUCUGGUAAGUAGAAAUCAAAUGCUUUUAUCACCUGAAUGUACAUGUGAAGUUGGUAAUGUUUGCAACUAAUUAAAAAUAUUCUCAACAAUUUUCUAGUGGUAGCUCAGACUGACAAUUAUGGCCAGAGGCCUCUUACACAAUGUGCCAGGCAAAGAGAAAAAUGGAAUAGUCAGAGAAAGAAGCUGCUAGAAAAGGAUUUCUGCAGGUGAUUAACCUAAUGAGCAUGAGGAUUUUCAUAUAAACUGUCAUCUUAUUCUGGUGCUAGUACUUGGAGCUCAUGACUCUGAUUCUUGCAAUUCUGCUCCUGGCUUUCAUAUGUGUGGUUGUAUUUCUUUAAUGUUGGGCAGCAUUUUUGGUUUUGUUUGAUUUUUUUUUUUUGGCUUGGCUGACUUCUUUGCAAAUUACAGUAGUAUUCACUUACCUUACAGAGUUACUGUAAACCUUAAUUAAGCUCCCCCUGAGCAGCUUGGAGAGGGCUGGACAAAAGCUGCUGUCGAGGUGACAGCAAUUUUCUGGGACCAAGCAGUGUUGAGCAGCAUGGGGUCUUUAAUAUCCCAGCUCUUACCUGCUGCUGUGUCAGACAAAAGGAUGAGGUAUUAGUCUGGUAGAUUAAGAGGUAGCUAGAAAAACUAGACACUUUUUCAGAUUUUUUUUUUUAUAAAUAGGAACCUGACAAAAUUGAUUUGUUGAGUUGUAACUAUGCAUGCAUUUGGCUAUAGCUGGAAGAUUCAAGCUUCAUUAAAAGAAUAAUUAAAGAGAAAGAGUCCAUUCAAAAACUAAUGAGAGCAUUUCCCUUUGUCCUUUCUAGAAGUGAACUAUUUUCUUUUGUGAAUGCCAGCCUGUUUUGUUACAACAAACUAAAAAGUAUGCCUUCACUUUUCAGUUUGAACCAACAUUUUUCAUUUUAACAUUAACAUUGUACACCACAAACAUAAGUCAAAACUAUCAGUUGCAAGUCUACAAGGACUUUAAAUGAAUGUCAGACCCUUGUGAUCUCAGAGCGUAGGAGAGGCUUCACUCCAAGAUUUAUACACCCUUCCCAGCAGGUGGAAAUAAAACUAACCUCACAAGGGGUAGUUUUAGUACCCUAAAUGAACUUGAGAUAAGCAGCAGUUGAGGGAAGCUAAAUCAGUGGUUACAUGUCCAUGUUAAUCUUCAGCAGCUCCAAAACAAGCAGACUCUGCUUCAUCCCCAUCCCCACUGCCAGUGCUGGGUGUCACUGUCACCUUUGCUCUUGUGCCUCAGUUAGCAACGUUCAGCCUCGUGGUGAUCAGAGUGGGGAAGAGCUUCACUGACCUUUGUUUUUCAUUUGCAGGUUUGGAUUUCACUUGAAUCCACUGCUUUGUGUGGUUUUCUAUCUGGCUGGAUGAAGAGAGGAGGUUGGAUCAGUUGGCAACAGUCACAUUCUCCUUUUCAGCAAAUCCCUGAAGCAGUUAUGGCCUAAAAGUGUGCUAAAGACAAAAAACCCAAAGCAUGAAAGUGUUCAGCAUUGAUGUCUGGAAGCCCUCCUCAUCCCUUCUUAUUGUCUGAGCAGCAAGGUCAUCUGAAUUAUUCUGCACUGGCAGUGAUAUGAGUGGAGCAGGACUCAGAGCCUCAUUCACUCAGGAAUUUCUGCAUCACUGUGGAAAAUGAAGUCACCUCUUUCUUGAUAAAUGUACUCUGAAGACAUGCCAGGGGAUACUGCUGGUACAACGUCAAGAGUUUCCACUAGUGACCACUGUUGAAGACAGAAGUCUGGGCCAAGAGUGCUCUGAAUCCAGGAUAUAGCCUUAUGUUCCUUCUAGCUCCAGUCUUCCCUGUCCUGUCCUGUUCAAUACAUACCCAAUCUUGCUCCACCCAGCCUACAUUUUAGAAUUCUUCAAUUUUUCCAGCACAGGAAUUUUGCUAAGCUCUUCCUGUAACUUGAGUGUCAGUUGGGGCUCUCCAUAUCAAUAUUAUCUUGCACUUUGUUUAACGAUGGGACCUUUCUUUUACUUUUUACUCCUGUUUCAACCAUUCUUACCAACAUGCCACUGUUUUGUGCUUUAUCCAUCCAUGUAGUGUCUACUCUUUAGUCAUUUUUUUUUCCCUUUUUCGGGAAUUCUCUAAGAACUUGCUUGUUGAACACCAAAGAUUAUUUUCUUUCCCAUAGUUAUGACUUCUGAAUUUUGUCUUGAACCUGCUAGUAACUCAUAUAUUUUUUUAAUUAUUUUGUGAAAAAAAAAUUUGGUAAAUUACUCUGUCAUCAAAAUACAUUUUAUGAGUUUGGGCACUUGUAAAUCACUGAUCUGCAUCCACAUUGCAUGCACACUGCUAGAGCUGCAGCAUCUAGAAGUUAAUGUUCUAGACAGACUUUGUACAGGAGAGUAGGAUUACGUCGGUCACGUUCAGAUUGAGGCCCAUGAGCAAGUUACAAGAAUAAGGUUGGUAUUACAGAACCAUUUAGGUUGGAAAAGGCCUCUGAUAUUGAGUCCAGUCUUUGAUCAUCACCUUGUCAACUAGACCAUAGGACUAAGUGCCAUGUCCAGUUGUUUCCUGAGCACCUCCAGGAAUGAUGACUCCACUGCCUCACAGGACAGUCAGUCCCAAUCCUUGACAACCCUUUCAUCCUCCUGAUGUCCAACCUGAACCUCCCCUGGUGCACCUUGAAGCUGUGUCCUCUCAUCCCCUUGCUGGUUGCAUGGGAGAAGAAGUCAAUCCCCAGCUGGCUGCAGCCUCCUUUCAGGGAGGUGUAGAGAGUGACAAGGUCUUCCCUGAGCCUCCUCUUCUCCAGACUAAACACCCCAGCUCCCUCAGCCAUUCCUCACAGGACUUGUGCUC
Molecule: long non-coding RNA, 4741 nt
Organism: Corvus hawaiiensis (hawaiian crow)
Lineage: Eukaryota; Metazoa; Chordata; Aves; Passeriformes; Corvidae
Exons: 5
Source: RefSeq, a predicted model, not a curated record